This 479-nucleotide long non-coding RNA is filed under the name Acyrthosiphon pisum (pea aphid). Its description in RNAcentral is "uncharacterized LOC115034034, transcript variant X1". Lineage: Eukaryota; Metazoa; Arthropoda; Insecta; Hemiptera; Aphididae. The record is from RNAcentral.
AUAAUAUAGUAUCUUAUCUUUUGGCAAAUUGGAUCAAGAUGGACAAUGGUUCUUUAGAGAGUUCUUCUCAUAAUCCCAUGGAAACGGUCUUACAUGGAAUCAUAGCUACGGUUCAUGAUAACGGUACGUGCUCAAGGCCGCGAAAUUGAGAAAAAUAGCUAUUCAAUCAAUCAAAAAUAUUAUUCAAACAUGCGCUCGGGACAAGCUGGUCAACUUGGAAUUUUUUGGAAGCAUUGAUAAAUAUGUAUAAAUGUGUUAUGUAUAUUAUUGUUUAUUAAAUAUCAGUGGCGAAUCAUGGACUCAUAAUUGUUUGACAAGGCUUGACGGAAAUUGGAGUCUACACACCUAUGCCUACAUUAAACAAUCUAUAAGUACACUAUAAAUGCUAUAUUUUUAUCCUAAUAAUGAAGUAUUGUGCGUUUUUAUAUUUAAUAUAUAAUAUACGUAAAAUGAAUAUACCCAUUAUUAAUUCAAAGAAA